RNAcentral lists this long non-coding RNA (942 nucleotides) under Homo sapiens (human). RNAcentral describes it as "HSALNT0119628". Lineage: Eukaryota; Metazoa; Chordata; Mammalia; Primates; Hominidae. The record is from RNAcentral.
AAGCUCCAAACAAGUUUUAUCCUGUCCACAGGUCAGUUUUGUUACAGAGGCCAAUUAGCAGUGCUACCUUCGCCUGCGGCAAAAAGCCAAGUAAUGACCGGGCAAGCCCUGCGGAGGGGUGAUGAAUAACUCCGGAGAGCUGUAAUUUGAAAGGGGGGCCUUUGAAGCAUUUACCUUACAUGGGACGCCAUUGUCCCUGCAGGGUGUUUGAUCUUAAAAUAAUUUACUUAAUGAUCUCACCAUGGGAGCAAUUGGCAGAGCAAGAUUAGGCUGUAAGGCCUAAUGGACAUGGGAAAAGUUAAAAUUGCUCAGAGAAAGGCGUGGCUGUGCUGACUUCAGAGAGGAAUUGUUGGUGGCUUAGCAACAGCUGCACACACAGCUUCCAGAGGGAAUGGAGCUGAAUUGGACAUGGCAACAAGAAUGCAGGCCUGAAUCACAUUAUGUUCCAAGAACCUUUAACUUUGCAUCAUAAUGACCUGCGGCCUAACAGAAGCAAAUUGCAAGUGGUUUCAAAAGGAUAAACUCUAAUUUAUAUUAAGCUAGUAUUAUAACUUAAGCAGCUCGUUUUGAAAGCAAAACUAAAAACCUCAUCAUUCAUGUGAUGGCCCCUAAAUGCAUCCUUUUUCAUUUUACCUGUAAAAUGCUCUGUGUUUGCUGACAGGUUAAAUGUAUACUAUACACAGAGAGCCAACAUUUCUCUUUGUAACACUGCAGCAAUCUUACUUUUAGCAGCAUUCGUAUUAUUUUAAGCUGUCCCCAUUUUCUUCUAAACACCAUAAUUAGAAGCUGAAAAGCUUACAGCAACCAAACCCAAUAAGGUCUCAUUAUGAACAAAAUAUUCUACCGUGGCUCAACAAGUGACCCAAUGUAUUCCAACAAGAUGAAGCCUUCAGCCUUCCUGCCCAAUUACGGCAUCAGGCACAUGAACCAAUAGGCAAUUAC